ACAACUGCAUGCAUGCUGAAGUCAAAAUUAGCACUUGUUUAGUGGAUUAAUUAGCACUUGUUUAGUGGUUUGCUUUGAUCCUCUGCCUCAGUUUGCCUCAGAUGUGAGAUGGCAAAACAAUGAGAGAUACAAACCUUUCUGCAUGCGUCCGUCCUAACUAGCACUUUCUUUUGGUUAAAAAACUACAUCUAUCUUCACAGGCGCAGCUCUUAAUUUCUAUAUUAAGUUUGACCUAGCUUAUUCCAACGUAAGUAAACCAAAACUUUUAUGUAGAUGACUAAGAAAACCACUACCUAGAAAUGUUAUUUGACUUACUUAAUAGGUAAUCACUUGUUUUCUAUGGAAGCCCUUUACAAUUGACAAAGAC
Molecule: long non-coding RNA, 367 nt
Filed under: Prunus persica (peach)
Lineage: Eukaryota; Viridiplantae; Streptophyta; Magnoliopsida; Rosales; Rosaceae
Description: long non-coding RNA (PPER_LNC006733)
Source: RNAcentral